This 253-nucleotide ribosomal RNA is filed under the name uncultured bacterium. Its description in RNAcentral is "partial 16S ribosomal RNA". It matches the Rfam family "Bacterial small subunit ribosomal RNA", at positions 524 to 776 of the family's 1533-position model. The record is from RNAcentral.
UACAGGGGGGGCAAGCGUUGUUCGGAAUUACUGGGCGUAAAGGGCUCGUAGGCGGCCUUGUAAGUCUCGUGUGAAAGCCCUCGGCUUAACUGAGGAUCUGCACGGGAUACUGCGAGGCUUGAGUUCGGGAGAGGAAAGCGGAAUUCCGGGUGUAGCGGUGAAAUGCGUAGAUAUCCGGAGGAACACCAGUGGCGAAGGCGGCUUUCUGGACCGACACUGACGCUGAGGCGCGAAAGCUAGGGGAGCAAACGGG